CACGGCCCUCGCGCCGGCGCCGCCANCUUUCAAGUGUCUGCCUUAUCAGCUUUCGAUUGUAGGUUAUGCGCCUACAAUGGCUAUAACGGUAACGGGGAAGUCAGGGUUCGAUUCCGGAGAGGGAGCCUGAGAAACGGCUACCACAUCUAAGGAAGGCAGCAGGCACGCAAAUUACCCACUCCCGGCUCGGGGAGGUAGUGACGAAAAAUAACGAUGCGAGACUCUUUCCGAGGCCUCGCAAUCGGAAUGAGUACACUUUAAAUCCUUUUAACGAGGAUCUAUUGGAGGGCAAGUCUGGUGCCAGCAGCCGCGGUAAUUCCAGCUCCAAUAGCGUAUAUUAAAGUUGUUGCGGUUAAAAAGCUCGUAGUUGGAUCUCAGUUCCGGACCGACGGUUCGCCGCCCGGCGUCUACUGUCGGCUUCCGAACAGCCCGCGGCUCGCGCGGGGUGCUCUUCAUCGAGUCGUCCCGAGUGGCCGGCUACGUUUACUUUAGAAAAAUU
This 499-nucleotide ribosomal RNA is filed under the name Squilla empusa. Its description in RNAcentral is "SSU rRNA". It matches the Rfam family "Eukaryotic small subunit ribosomal RNA", at positions 272 to 767 of the family's 1831-position model. The record is from RNAcentral. Lineage: Eukaryota; Metazoa; Arthropoda; Malacostraca; Stomatopoda; Squillidae.